This 200-nucleotide ribosomal RNA is filed under the name uncultured bacterium. Its description in RNAcentral is "partial 16S ribosomal RNA". It matches the Rfam family "Bacterial small subunit ribosomal RNA", at positions 8 to 211 of the family's 1533-position model. The record is from RNAcentral.
AGAGUUUGAUCAUGGCUCAGGACGAACGCUGGCGGCGUGCUUAACACAUGCAAGUCGAGCGGAAAGGCCCUUCGGGGUACUCGAGCGGCGAACGGGUGAGUAACACGUGAGCAAUCUGCCUUAGCUUCGGGAUAGCUCCGGGAAACCGGAAUUAAUACCGGAUAUGACGUCGGCCGACAUCGGCUGACGUGGAAAGAUUU